This 396-nucleotide RNase P RNA is filed under the name Marinibacterium profundimaris. RNAcentral's name for it is "Bacterial RNase P class A". It matches the Rfam family "Bacterial RNase P class A". From Rfam's summary of the family: Ribonuclease P (RNase P) is a ubiquitous endoribonuclease, found in archaea, bacteria and eukarya as well as chloroplasts and mitochondria. Its best characterised activity is the generation of mature 5'-ends of tRNAs by cleaving the 5'-leader elements of precursor-tRNAs. Cellular RNase Ps are ribonucleoproteins. Lineage: Bacteria; Pseudomonadati; Pseudomonadota; Alphaproteobacteria; Rhodobacterales; Paracoccaceae. The record is from Rfam by way of RNAcentral.
GCGGAGGGCCGGAUGGCCGCUUCGGCGGGGUGACCCGCCGGGGAGGAAAGUCCGGACUCCCUGAAGCAACGGUGCCGGGUAACGCCCGGGCGGGGCAACCCGACGGAAAGCGCCACAGAAAACAGACCGCCUCCGGCCUGGCCGGGGGUAAGGGUGAAACGGUGGAGUAAGAGACCACCGCGUCCCUGGCAACAGGGGCGGCACGGCAAGCCCCACCGGGAGCAAUGCCGAAUAGGACCCCCGCGCGGAACCGGUCUUCGGGCCACCGCUAGGCUCGCUUCAGCCGAGAGGGGUCGGGUUGGCAGCUCAAGGGCCGUGGCAACACGUCCCGUAGAGGAAUGGUCAUCGACGGGGGCAACCCCUGAACAGAAUCCGGCUUACAGGCCCUCCGCGCGU